This 743-nucleotide ribosomal RNA is filed under the name uncultured bacterium. RNAcentral's name for it is "bacterial SSU rRNA". It matches the Rfam family "Bacterial small subunit ribosomal RNA", at positions 94 to 823 of the family's 1533-position model. The record is from RNAcentral.
AGCGGCGGAUGGGUGAGUAACACGUGGGGAACCUGCCCCUAAGUCUGGGAUACCAUUUGGAAACAGGUGCUAAUACCGGAUAAUAAAGCAGAUCGCAUGAUCAGCUUUUGAAAGGCGGCGUAAGCUGUCGCUAAGGGAUGGCCCCGCGGUGCAUUAGCUAGUUGGUAAGGUAACGGCUUACCAAGGCGACGAUGCAUAGCCGAGUUGAGAGACUGAUCGGCCACAUUGGGACUGAGACACGGCCCAAACUCCUACGGGAGGCAGCAGUAGGGAAUCUUCCACAAUGGACGCAAGUCUGAUGGAGCAACGCCGCGUGAGUGAAGAAGGUUUUCGGAUCGUAAAGCUCUGUUGUUGGAGAAGAACGUGCGUGAGAGUAACUGUUCACGCAGUGACGGUAUCCAACCAGAAAGUCACGGCUAACUACGUGCCAGCAGCCGCGGUAAUACGUAGGUGGCAAGCGUUAUCCGGAUUUAUUGGGCGUAAAGCGAGCGCAGGCGGUUGCUUAGGUCUGAUGUGAAAGCCUUCGGCUUAACCGAAGAAGUGCAUCGGAAACCGGGCAACUUGAGUGCAGAAGAGGACAGUGGAACUCCAUGUGUAGCGGUGGAAUGCGUAGAUAUAUGGAAGAACACCAGUGGCGAAGGCGGCUGUCUGGUCUGCAACUGACGCUGAGGCUCGAAAGCAUGGGUAGCGAACAGGAUUAGAUACCCUGGUAGUCCAUGCCGUAAACGAUGAGUGCUAGGUGU